UGAGGAAUAUUGGUCAAUGGGCGAGAGCCUGAACCAGCCAAGUCGCGUGAAGGAAGACAGUCCUAAGGAUUGUAAACUUCUUUUAUACGGGAAUAACGGGCGAUACGAGUAUUGCAUUGAAUGUACCGUAAGAAUAAGCAUCGGCUAACUCCGUGCCAGCAGCCGCGGUAAUACGGAGGAUGCGAGCGUUAUCCGGAUUUAUUGGGUUUAAAGGGUGCGUAGGUUGUUCGGUAAGUCAGCGGUGAAACCUGAGCGCUCAACGUUCAGCCUGCCGUUGAAACUGCCGGGCUUGAGUUCAGUGGCGGCAGGCGGAAUUCGUGGUGUAGCGGUGAAAUGCAUAGAUAUCACGAGGAACUCCGAUUGCGAAGGCAGCUUGCCAUACUGCGACUGACAAUGAAGCACGAAGGCGUGGGUAUCAAACAGG
RNAcentral lists this ribosomal RNA (424 nucleotides) under Fusobacteriota bacterium. RNAcentral's name for it is "Fusobacteria bacterium partial 16S ribosomal RNA". It matches the Rfam family "Bacterial small subunit ribosomal RNA", at positions 355 to 776 of the family's 1533-position model. Lineage: Bacteria; Fusobacteriati; Fusobacteriota. The record is from RNAcentral.